Molecule: non-coding RNA, 27 nt
Filed under: Rattus norvegicus (Norway rat)
Lineage: Eukaryota; Metazoa; Chordata; Mammalia; Rodentia; Muridae
Source: RNAcentral
GGAGGAAGCUGUCCUGUCUGUGUGCUC